AAUUGUUACCGACUCUUUUCAUCACCACGCCACCACCUGAAAACCGAGUCAUUUAUGAUUCGGAGGAUUGCUCUCGAGGUCAAGCAAGAGCUUGCCUUCUCUUUUUAACUCCUUGAUUUCCAUUUUUCAGAAUAUAUUUUCAUUAGAACGUAGUAAUCUAAUAUUCUUUUCUUUUUUUAUCCUAAUCAGCUAGUUUUCUUUUCUUUUUCCAGACGUAAAUUAGCUCAGUGUAAAGAGAGAGAUUCAAGGCUGGUAAGGUGGCAGGAUUUGUAGAUGAUAUUCCGAGGAGAAAAAGUACGCGGUUGCACGUUUAACCGCAACGCUUCUAACGCACGCAGGAUGGUAUUAUCCAGAAUUGUUAGUCUUCCCUGUUUUAAUUCUUAAAGUACCAGCAUUUUAUAUUCUGUGCACAGAGUGCAUUUUUAAACUCCCUCUUCAUUGAACACUACAAUACACGCUUCUCUAGUGUAAUUAUUCAAUCUUUUAAACUAUUUACUCGCACGUCUUCUCUCCAUAUGAAGAUUAUCUGUUUUUUUUUUCAUCUCAGGAAAGAGACAUCGUGCUAAAUUCUUGGGUCAAUUCAUAUGACUGCGAUUAAAAAUCAUUCCAUGAUCUUACGACUUAAUCUAAUUAUUGAGAGAGUGGUGAAUU
RNAcentral lists this long non-coding RNA (651 nucleotides) under Populus trichocarpa (black cottonwood). RNAcentral describes it as "long non-coding RNA (PTRI_LNC001255)". Lineage: Eukaryota; Viridiplantae; Streptophyta; Magnoliopsida; Malpighiales; Salicaceae. The record is from RNAcentral.